This 331-nucleotide unclassified non-coding RNA is filed under the name soil metagenome. RNAcentral's name for it is "partial contains 5.8S ribosomal RNA, internal transcribed spacer 2, and large subunit ribosomal RNA". The stretch from base 1 to 120 matches the Rfam family "5.8S ribosomal RNA", at positions 35 to 154 of the family's 154-position model. The record is from RNAcentral.
GAUGAAGAACGCAGCGAAAUGCGAUAAGUAAUGUGAAUUGCAGAAUUCAGUGAAUCAUCGAAUCUUUGAACGCACAUUGCGCCCGCUAGUAUUCUGGCGGGCAUGCCUGUUCGAGCGUCAUUUCAACCAUCAAGCCCCAGGCUUGUGUUGGGGGCCUGCGGCUGCCGCAGCCCCUGAAAAACAGUGGCGGGCUCGCUGUCAUUCCGAGCGCAGUAGUUACAUCUCGCUCCGGGCGUGGCGGUGGGCACCUGCCGUGAAACACUCCUUCUAAGGUUGACCUCGGAUCAGGUAGGAAUACCCGCUGAACUUAAGCAUAUCAAUAAGCGGAGGA